This 1038-nucleotide ribosomal RNA is filed under the name Verrucomicrobiota bacterium. Its description in RNAcentral is "bacterial LSU rRNA". It matches the Rfam family "Bacterial large subunit ribosomal RNA", at positions 1 to 862 of the family's 2925-position model. Lineage: Bacteria; Pseudomonadati; Verrucomicrobiota. The record is from RNAcentral.
UGAUCAAGCUACAAAGAGCGCAUCAUGGAUGCCUUGGUGCCAAUAGGCGAUGAAGGACGUGGUAAGCUGCGAUAAGUCACGGAGAGCGGCAAACACGCUUUGACCCGUGAAUUUCCGAAUGGGAUAACCUGAGCGAGCUAACACUUGCUCGAGCUUCUGUGAAUUCAUAGCAGAAGCAUCGCGACACCCGGUGAAGUGAAACAUCUCAGUAACCGGAGGAAGAGAAAUCGAAAGAGAUUCCGUCAGUAGUGGCGAGCGAAAGCGGAACAGGCUAAACCCUCGCCAUUUCAGGAUCCAAACUGGAAGAGAAGACAGAAUGUACAGAAUUAUGCAGAAUUCAGAAGACGAUAUCUUCUGAACCUAAUUCGGUUUAUUUUGUUAAUUCUGUCAAAAAUUUGGGUUUUGAAGUGGCGGGGGGGUUGUAGGAGCCCGAUGUGGUAGUGCAAAGGUUAGGUGAAGCUUCUGGAAAGCUGCGCCCCAGAGGGUGAAAGGCCCGUAACCGAAAACCCGAGCACGCCUAGGGAUUUCCUGAGUAAUACGAUGCACGUGAAACUUCGUAUGAAUCUGCGCCGACCACGGCGUAAGCCUAAAUACUAAUUGGCGACCGAUAGUGAACAAGUACCGCGAGGGAAAGGUGAAAAGAACCGCUAUGAGCGGAGUGAAAUAGUACCUGAAAUGAUGUGCUUACAAGGUGUCAAAGCCCAGCACCAGUUGGACAGAUGAUGUCCGAACGAGACUGCGAUAUUGCAGUCCAACUGGUGCUGGGUGAUGGCGUGCCUUUUGCUUAAUGAGUCUGCGAGUUAUUAUCAGUGGCGAGCCUAAGGCGUUCUGCGCUGGAGGCGAAGCGAAAGCGAGUCCGAAAUGGGCGACCCAGUCGCUGGUAGUAGACCCGAAGCGGAGGUGAUCUACCCAUGAGCAGGAUGAAGCGCGGGUAAAACCGUGUGAAGGUCCGAACCGGUGAAAGUUGAAAAUUUCUCGGAUGACUUGUGGGUAGGAGCUAAAGACUAAUCAAACCCCGUGAUAGCUGGUUCUCCCCGA